GCUCCCGUCGUCUAACGGCUUAGGAUACCUGACUUUCUAUCAGGCGAUACGGGUUCGAUUCCCGUCGGGAGUG
This 73-nucleotide transfer RNA is filed under the name Flavilitoribacter nigricans. It matches the Rfam family "tRNA". Rfam says of the family: Transfer RNA (tRNA) molecules are approximately 80 nucleotides in length. Lineage: Bacteria; Pseudomonadati; Bacteroidota; Saprospiria; Saprospirales; Lewinellaceae. The record is from RNAcentral. RNAcentral also lists the same sequence under 1 other name.